UAACCCAUGCAACUUCUGGACAAGACCCGCCUUCAAUAGCAUUCACACGCUGCUAUUGGCCAGGAGUCCAUGGUUACGCUAGGUAACGUUACCCAAUUUGUCCAGGUCCUAUCCCCUGACCAAUCGGUUAUCCUAACCUUAACCACUCAAUGUCAAUGCCUAGCCCCAACCAAUCAGACUGCUUGGUAGGGCGGGACUUGCCUAGAAGUUACGUGGGAUCCAUAAUACUGCGGCCUUGACAGUUUUCACAA
Etheostoma spectabile (orangethroat darter) is the source of this 251-nucleotide long non-coding RNA. RefSeq lists it as uncharacterized. The transcript has 3 exons. NCBI's taxonomy places the organism in Eukaryota, Metazoa, Chordata, Actinopteri, Perciformes, Percidae. The record is from RefSeq and is a predicted model, not a curated record.